AUUGAACGCUGGCGGCAGGCCUAACACAUGCAAGUCGAGCGGUAGAGAGGAGCUUGCUCCUCUUGAGAGCGGCGGACGGGUGAGUAAUGCCUAGGAAUCUGCCUGGUAGUGGGGGAUAACGUUCGGAAACGGACGCUAAUACCGCAUACGUCCUACGGGAGAAAGCAGGGGACCUUCGGGCCUUGCGCUAUCAGAUGAGCCUAGGUCGGAUUAGCUAGUUGGUGAGGUAAUGGCUCACCAAGGCGACGAUCCGUAACUGGUCUGAGAGGAUGAUCAGUCACACUGGAACUGAGACACGGUCCAGACUCCUACGGGAGGCAGCAGUGGGGAAUAUUGGACAAUGGGCGAAAGCCUGAUCCAGCCAUGCCGCGUGUGUGAAGAAGGUCUUCGGAUUGUAAAGCACUUUAAGUUGGGAGGAAGGGCAGUAAAUUAAUACUUUGCUGUUUUGACGUUACCGACAGAAUAAGCACCGGCUAACUCUGUGCCAGCAGCCGCGGUAAUACAGAGGGUGCAAGCGUUAAUCGGAAUUACUGGGCGUAAAGCGCGCGUAGGUGGUUUGUUAAGUUGGAUGUGAAAUCCCCGGGCUCAACCUGGGAACUGCAUUCAAAACUGACUGACUAGAGUAUGGUAGAGGGUGGUGGAAUUUCCUGUGUAGCGGUGAAAUGCGUAGAUAUAGGAAGGGACACCAGUGGCGAAGGGCGACCACCUGGACUAAUACUGACACUGAGGUGCGAAAGCGUGGGAGCAAACAGGAUUAGAUACCCUGGUAGUCCACGCCGUAAACGAUGUCAACUAGCCGUUGGAAGCCUUGAGCUUUUAGUGGCGCAGCUAACGCAUUAAGUUGACCGCCUGGGGAGUACGGCCGCAAGGUUAAAACUCAAAUGAAUUGACGGGGGCCCGCACAAGCGGUGGAGCAUGUGGUUUAAUUCGAAGCAACGCGAAGAACCUUACCAGGCCUUGACAUCCAAUGAACUUUCUAGAGAUAGAUUGGUGCCUUCGGGAACAUUGAGACAGGUGCUGCAUGGCUGUCGUCAGCUCGUGUCGUGAGAUGUUGGGUUAAGUCCCGUAACGAGCGCAACCCUUGUCCUUAGUUACCAGCACGUCAUGGUGGGCACUCUAAGGAGACUGCCGGUGACAAACCGGAGGAAGGUGGGGAUGACGUCAAGUCAUCAUGGCCCUUACGGCCUGGGCUACACACGUGCUACAAUGGUCGGUACAGAGGGUUGCCAAGCCGCGAGGUGGAGCUAAUCCCACAAAACCGAUCGUAGUCCGGAUCGCAGUCUGCAACUCGACUGCGUGAAGUCGGAAUCGCUAGUAAUCGCGAAUCAGAAUGUCGCGGUGAAUACGUUCCCGGGCCU
This 1358-nucleotide ribosomal RNA is filed under the name uncultured bacterium. Its description in RNAcentral is "bacterial SSU rRNA". It matches the Rfam family "Bacterial small subunit ribosomal RNA", at positions 28 to 1381 of the family's 1533-position model. The record is from RNAcentral.